This 9311-nucleotide long non-coding RNA is filed under the name Vigna radiata. Its description in RNAcentral is "long non-coding RNA (VRAD_LNC003976)". The record is from RNAcentral. Lineage: Eukaryota; Viridiplantae; Streptophyta; Magnoliopsida; Fabales; Fabaceae.
UGAAAACUUGAUGUUGAAGAUGGUGUCUGAUAGAAAAUGAAAGAAAGAAGAAAAAGCAAAGAAUGAUGAAAGCAUAAAAGAGAUUUUAUAUAUGAAGUGAGAGUACAAAAGCAUCAUAGACAUUCUGGUUACAGAUUCAUGGAAAGAGAGAGAGAAGAUGAUUAUUGAUGGAGGCACUACAAAGAUGAAAGUCUUUUAUUUAGGAGAUAGAUAAUAUGCUACGUUGCAUGGUUUAGAAGUGACCAUUUUCUUCAACGGGUGGGUGCUUACCAUAAGGGGGCUUAUGGUAUGGCUUUGGUUUGGGUUUAGGCUCGUAAAUUGGUGGUCUUGGCUUGUGGAUGGGUGGCUUAUACUUACGGGGUGGUUUGUAGAAGCUGUCAGACUCAGAUUCAGCAGCAAGCCCUUGAGGGGUCAGAAUCAGAGCCAAAAGGAACAACACAACCAAAGUUAAGAGAGAAUUAGCCAUCUUCAUUCUGUUAUUGCUUCUGCAUCUUACUCACUCAUUCAUCUCCUUUUAUAGUCAGCCUUCACGCACGUCUCAAUCCAAUUCAUUUAUCGUUCCCUCUGUCACUGUAUCAAAUGUCAAACAUUUGGUGUGCAUUUUUCUAUGCCCACUGGUCCCAUUUUGUAUCUCUCCCACUUAAUAAUACCCUCUGUGUUUAUCUCUCCCACUUACUUUUUCUUUAUUAUCAUACCAUUCUCCAAACUUUAUCGUUAAUUCUCAUCUGAAUUCGACCACUGUCGGAUACAACAAAACAAAAACACUUUCUACUACUCAUCUAGUAUACUCUCUAAUAAUUACAGAACCAUCUCGGAUCCGGUUCCCGGAUUGUUGCCGACAACACUAUUCGGCCCUAUGACACAUUUAAUUUAUUGAAUUCGUGACAAAAAUUAUCUCUGUAAUAAAAUUUAAUAUAAAUUUUUUAAUAACGUGUAUAAAUAAAUAGGAAAUGUUUUUUAAUAAUUUUUUUACAAUAUUAUUUGUGAUUGAUUUAUUUUAAAUAUUUUUUUUUAAAAUAAAUUUAUAUAGAUCAAUAAAACAAUAAAAUGUGACUGUUGUCAAAAAAAUUAUUAUGGAAAAGUUGUUAAUAGUCUAAAUAAAUAAUACAAAUGACAUAUUAUUAUUUGUUUGGACCAAUUUUUGUGAUUGUGACUUUUGUUUUAAUAGUAAAAUUAUUUUUUUGGUUUAUUCUUAAUUGAUCAAUCCAUUUUAUUUUGAAUAGGAAUAAUAGUUAACCUUCGUGAUUGUUUACAACACAUUUUAUUACAUACUGAUACAGUUGUUAUCAUGUGAUAUUGAUUCACACGGAUGAAUAUUUAUAUGAAGACGAUUAUUUGAUAAUGUAUUUUUAUUCUAAUUAUUUUAAUUUAAUUAUUUUUUAUUUUUCUGAAGUUCUAACUCAUAUCAUUAUAACUUUUUCUUAUUUUAUUAUCUUUGUCCUGUAUUCAAUUAAUUAAAUAAAAACAAAAAACAAAUAUCAUUAAACAUAAUAAAAUAAAAAUAAAUAAAAAAUCACUUUACUUAAAACAAAAUUAAAACUAUUUGGGUCCAAAAAAAAUAUUUUGAAUUGAAAUUUUCAUAAACAUGAUGACUUCACUUAAAAAAAAUGUUGAAAUUGUAGCAUUUCAUAAGACUUCAACUAUAAGAAAACCUUCAUAAGUAUAAUAACUUCACUUUAAGAAACUAAAAAAAAGAAUAGAAGUCGUUAUAGUCGUACCAUCUAAUAUGACUUUAACCCAUAUGUACGACUUAUCUUAUUGUGUAAAAUUUUAAAAAUCUAACUUCUUUACAUAAAUACAAAAGUUGAUUAAUUCCUUUUGGUUAAUUAACCUGUUUACAAAUACUUCACUACAAUAUUGGUAUGUUGAUAUCAAAUUCAGUCAUGGAAUAGUUUAAAUAGAGACGUAGUUUAAAUAGUUUUUUUUUCUACUAUAAUUUAUCCAUAUAUUGUAUAAAGACAUGACAAUUAUUGAGAAAAUGAAAAAGUUCAUUGUCUAAGAAAGAUAAAGAAAAUGAGCUAUAUGAUUAAGAUAUUAUAAAGGAUGGAUAAUAUUUUAUGUAAUAUUUAUUACUACACAAAAAAAAAAAAACAUUAGAAUUAAUGAAUGGCUAUAGUUGAAAGAAAUAAAAGAAAGUAGUAAUAGUAGUGGAGGAAGAAAAAGAACAUAAAAAUCCAUUAUAAUGGCUAGUUUUAUUAGUGUCUCCUGUAUAAGAAAUGAAAAAGUGGAUCUAAAACAAGAGAGAUAAGACACAACACUUUGAUAAAGCGACAAGAAGCCUAUCUUGUUUAAAUCUCAUUUUGUUCUCCAAACAUCUUAUUUGUUAUAAAAACUCUCAUUUAGUAUAUAUCUAAUGAGUGAUUAUAUGCUAGUGAGCUUUCUUUUUGUAACUUGUCUUUGAGACCUAAAAACCUAAACUUAGAAGUAAGUUUAAAUAUCUAUUUUUGAGUUUUACACUACAAAAACUACAGUAAUUAACGUCCACAAAAACCCCACGAAGAAAACAAAAGAAUAUGAAUCACAUAAUCGAACAAAAAAAAAAUAAGAAAAUUUUAUCUUAGAAGUCCCACGUUAACUUGAUUAAUGAUCAAUUUAUAAUAUAUAAAUGGAUAUAAAUCUCAUCGUACAAAUAGUUUUUUAGAAUUGAGUUAGAUUUAAAAUCUGAUUUUGAGUACUGACAAAGAUAAACACAAUAUACAAAUUCACAAAAUGGAUAAUGAUAUUUAGACAACAUUUUUUUGAUAACAUUUAAACAUCACCUACGUGUCAUUUUGUUAUUGGUCCAGUGGUGUUUAGAUAGAUAAUCCUGAACACGCAACCUCCAGUCAUGUUUUUUCCUUUUUACAUGUGUUCUUUUUUCCUUUUAUAAAGGGGUUCACCUCUUUGGCCAGUGUAACUUUUCAAUACAUUAUUUCUCUCCCCUUUCUUGUUUGUCUUCCUUUAGCUAUGCAAGACAUGUUCUUUUUUGCUUUUCUUUUUAGCCUAAUGGUUCACACUGUUCUUGUGUCAGUCUAUUAUGCACAACUUUAAAUAUAAAAUUUAUAUUUUGAAUUAUUUUAGAUUAUAAAAUAAAAAUAUAUAUUUUAACUUACAAAAUCCAAAAUAAAAAUUUUAUAUUCUAAAAUAUAUUAUUCAAAUUGUAUAUUUUAAAACUCAAAAUAAACAUAUGUAUUGUUCUUACGAAUCAUGUAUUCUUGGAUUGAGAAAACCUGAAACGUGUGAUGUUAUGUUAUGGGAGAGCAUGAGUACCAAAGGAGGAGUUUGUGGUUGAGAGAAUAAUGAGAGAAAAUUUAGUGUUUUCUUUUUUUUCUCUUAAUCUAAUCUAAUAACUAUAGAAAAUUCACUAUUUUAGUAACCUCAAUUUUACAUGCAUUCUAUUUCUUCUACUUAGACCCUAUUAAACUCCUCAUCCAACAUAUUAAUUUCAUCUAUACCAUAAAAAGGUAAUUAAUUAAAACACAAAAAUAACAUAAAUAGUCACAUGCAAAAUUUAAAAUUAAAUCAAUAUUAUGAAUUUUCUAAGACUUAAACACUAAAAUUGAUAAAAAAAAAUAAAAUAAAAAACAAAAAUCAAAAUUGUGACUUAAAAAAAUGAAAUAGUAAAAUAAGUAUUAAUAUAUUUUAUUUUUAAUAAGUUAAAAAAAUAUAAUAUUAAUAACAACUUUAAAUUUAUUAAUUUUAUUGAUUACUAUGGUUAAACACAAGUAAAUUUUUUAAUAUAUAUCAUAUAAAAAAUAUUUAAUAAUUUUUUAUAAUUAAUUACAUAUUAAAAGUAAUUUUUCAUAAUAAUUUGUAAGAAAACAAACACGUAUUUAAUUAUUUUAAUAAUUAAUAUAAUAAAAAAGACUAAAAAUUUUAUACUGAAAUUAUAAUUUUUUUAAUUAUACUAAAAGAGUAUAUAUCAACAUUUAUUAUAUUAAAAUAAUUAUUUAUCCUAAAAUACACAAACUAAAUUAUUGAACUGAAUUAUAUAAAAUUAAUAAAAGAGAAAAUAAAAAUAAAAAACGUGUAAAGAAGGGACAAAAUUAAAUGUGAACACAUAUUUGUAAUUAAUAUAUUUUCGGCUGAUUGAAAAGGUGUUGAUCAGUAUACGACGAAAGUGUCUUUGUCUGCUUGAUGCCAUUUCCAUCACAGUAGAAGUAGCCGACUGCAACUCAUCCUCCAUUACUGUAUAAUUGUUUCAACUUUUCAAGACUGAUUCAUGUGCUUUCACAUUUAUGAUCAAUGUUUUUGGACAGAAACAUGUUGGCUAUAUUAUUCAUUGUUUGGUUAAAUUUCGAUAAGGUUUGAAAUUUCAACGGAUAGGUAGGGAAUAUGAAAUUUGCUACUCUCAAAUUAAAGACUAUAGUACCAUUCUUAUUGUGAGUCGUUGAAAAACUUUAGUAAUUUCGUUAUCAAACUUUUUUCUUUUGCUAGUAAUUUUAUUAAGUUAUGUCAUCUUCUCUUGUUUUAUGUGCUACCACCACCAUUUGUUCUUGUUUUUACUAAUGUAUAAUUAGAACAAAGAAUAAGCUAAUGCAUUUAAAGUAAAAAAAAAAAAAAAAAAAAACAAAAUUAUUAUCAAUUUAUAUUUGAGAAAAACAUAAUUCUCGGUUUAAUUUUCAUUUUUUUCAUCUAUUUUAAAUACUUAUUCACUAAACAUACUAAGUAAAAACCAUUCUAACUAUUCAAACAGUUCAUAUUUAUCAAAAUCAACUAUCCAACAUACAUUAGUGCACAUAACUUUAUUUGCACAAAAAUAGUUCACCUUUAUCAAAAUCAAUUAUCCAACUUUAGCCCACACCACACAUAUAGAUCCAAAUGGCUCAGACAAAUAAAUACAUCUAGACGCUGCUUCUAAAAGACUGGUUUAUCGAAUAGACUGAUGAAUAAAUACAUCCUAUCAUACUUACUACUAAUUUCUUCUCAUUAUAACCAUAUUAGAAACCAAUAUUGUUCAUCAAGUCAUAACAUGAUUAACUUCACUAGUUCCCUGAUUCUCUUUCAUAUCAUAUAGUCUAAAGUGAAGCUUCCUUUGACUCUCACCACGUGGAUAUUUUUCACUAUGUAAGUUGGAUACUAGUAGAGUCGGGAUAAUCUCAUUGACGAAAUCCCUUUCAAUACACUUUGACACACUAAAUAGUAGCAUUUUCAAUUGAAAAUAGGUAUUAGGACUCAAACUGCACAUUAUCAAACCAAACCAAGUUCAAAAAAAUCUACCUUUAUAUAACAUUCAACAUAACUUCCACCCAACACAACAUCCCCACCGCUCACACUCCAAAAUGUAUCAUUUUUCACCCAACGCUUGAAAGCUACCACCUAGCGUCCACACUGCUGCAACUAUGAUGCUCAACGGUGUUCAAGGCCUAACCUAGCGGUAACAAGUCAAUAGUUGGUAUCUUAAGAAAUUUACACUAACACCCAACAAUACCCACACAAACAAAACUGAAACACGUCUAAAAUGCUUUAAAUGUUAAUAUACCAAAGAUAACAUACCCACUUUUAUCAAUAUGAUUCACUUCAUGUUCACAAACUACAUCAAUUCAUUGCUUUCAUCUACUUUAAGUUACCAUCUAUCAAUUAUACAUCAUUACAGACAUAAAUACCCAUAUUGUUGUUCAAGAUAUGAAACCUCAUUCAAAAGAUUUCAAUUCUAUAACACAUCUCUUAUGAAUCUAACCAACUUUCACCCAAAACCCAACAACUAAAAUUGGGAAAAUUGAAUAAGAUAAAAGAUCCUUACACUUACAAAUUUCACAAAGGUACAUGAUACUUUUAUAAUCGGUGCAACAUAAUAAUUCAAGACAUACAUGCACACUAAAACACUAAUUACCAAUAUGAUAUAUAUUCUAAAGUUAUUUAAAGUUUCAAACACAUUAAAAGGAUUCUAAACCUAGUGCAAAAAUCACAUACAAAUUUACUUACAUCAAAUAUACUAAUUUCUCAAUAAUUGAUAGAGACAAAGGUCCAACCAAAACUCAACCCUUCUCAAUACCAUUCUAUUAUAUAUUGCCACAGUACUCAAAACAACCAAAAACCAAAUUUCUCUUCUUCCUUCAAUAGUUUCACAAGUUCGACAUUUAGAUUUUCUUUAUUAAGCCAACAUCAAAAACAAUUUUGCACGUCUGCUACAUUAAUCACAAAUAUAGUCCAAUCUAAAUUUCUCAAUCAAAUUUUGUGCAUCGUAGAUUUCCAUGCAUAUAAUUAUGAAUACAAAUUAAAAAUAAACUAAAUGAUUAGUUUUCCUUACCUUAAAGAAAAUUCUUAGUGCUACUUUUCUCCUACACAACUUCAAAAUGUAUAAUUGCUCUAUCUAUAUAUACAACCGAAAAAGAGCCUCAUGGAAGAGAUAAAACAUAUUACUUUAACGAAAAAGAGACAAAAAUUGAAAUUACUCAAAAGAUGAAAUUGAUCGAUACAAAAUGUUCCUUAGCUCCUCAAUUUCAACAUGAUGCAUUUUGAUUUUGAAAAAUAUGAGAAAUUAAAGGUGAAAUUUGAGAGAGAAGGGAGAAAAAUGGUUGAAAGAAAAGAAAAAAUUUUAUAGUGUGUGUGGGGUUUACAAUAUGUAUGAGUAACUUCUCCAAGCCCUUCUAUAAGGGCUAUUUUAUAAUAUAGCAGUUGCUUCCAACAUUUCCUAAAAUUAUAGUUAUUAGUUGUGUUCAAUAUAGUAAAAAGUAUGUGAAGUACACAGGAACACACUAGAGAGAAGGGAGGUGAAGAGUGUUUUCAAAACAUUUUCACAAAGUAGCAUCUAAAUAACUUGUAAUGAGAAUAUAUAAAGGUGUACUAUGCUUUGACGCUGGUUUUAUGGGAUAGGUAAAUAAGAAUAGGUUCAGACGAUGGCAUUUCAAAAGAAUUUGUAAAAGCUUUAAGGGGAAAAACAAUAAAGUGCAAUUUUUAUACUAGUUCACUCAAUCUGAGCUAUGUCUAGUUCUCUUUUAAAAAUUCUUAGGGGUUUCAAUAAUCUUAUCAAAGAUUGCACAAGUUUAACCCACUCUUGGUUGCAAGUAUUCUUACACCACUCCUGGUCUCCUAGUCAACACAACUAGUCCGAGUUUAGUCUCUCUAAGAUAUAACCCUAUACAACACGUCUAGACUGAGUUUACCGACUCCUGGUUGUAAGUAUUCUUACACCACUUUUGGUCCCCUAUUUAACACGAUUAAUCCAAGUUUGACUUCUCUAAAAUCUAACACUAGACAACUGUCUAAACGAGUUUACUCACUCUUGGUUGCAAGUAUUAUUUUUCACUCCUAACACCCGAGUAUUUUAACCAUUCCUAGUUUACAAGUGUAUGAAUACAAAAUGGAAAUAACUCUUUUAGAAAGGAUGUUUAAUGAGAACAAAAUAUUCCGAAGUUCUUGUAAUUGCUCUCUCUCUAAUCAAAUGACAUAGGCUUAGAGCAAGACGCAUUUCUGUUGUUGACUCUCCAGUUUUCUCUCCUCUUGAUUUUUUUUUUUGCAUUAGACGCUAUGAGCACGAAGACAAACAUCAGAGUAGAUUUUCAAUAAGGUUUUCUUUUCUUUUCUUCUCUUCUCUUUUCUUUUUUGAAAGCUUUGAAAACUUUCAUGAUGGAAAACUUAGAGUUCUAUAAAAUUUAAGAAAUAAGAAAGAAAUUGAAAUCAUAGAAAGAUCCACAACAUUUCGCAAAAUUUUUGACAAGUGCUCAAUACUUCAAUUAUAACUAAUCUACUUUUGUAUUUAUGUAAAAAAAAUUGAAUUUUUAAAAUUUUACAUAAUAGGAUGAAGUCAUACAUGGGUUAAAGUCAUUUUAGAUAGUAUGACUGCAACUGAAUCAAAUUUCUCUUAUUUGAAGUUGUACGAGGUUACAUGACUUCUAUUUUUUAUUUUUUUAUUUUCUUAACGUGAAGUUAUUAUAGGUUUAUUUAAAAACAUUAUUUUAAUAUUAUAGUUGAAGUCAUAUGAAACGGUAUAACUUCAACAUUUUUUCUAAGUGAAGUCAUCAUGUUUAUGAAAACCUCAAUUCAAAAUAUUUUUUUUGGUACCGAAGUAGUUUUAAUUUUGUUUGAAGUAAAGUGAUUUUUUUAUUUUUUAUUUUAUUAUGUUUGAUGAUAUUUUAUUUUGUUUUUAUUUAAUUAAUUUAAUAUAGUAGUAUACUAUAUGAGUAGUAGGGUAGUAGAAAGUGUUUUUGUUUUGUUGUAUCCGACAGUGGUCGAAUUCAGAUUAGAAUUAACGAUAAAGUUUGGAGAAUGGUGUAAUAGUAUAGAAAAAAGUAAGUGGGAGAGAUAAACACAGAGGCUAUUAUUAAGUGGGAGAGAUACAAAAUGGGACCAGUGGGCAUAGAAAAAUGCACACCAAAUGUUUGACAUUUGACAGAGUGACAGAGGGAACGAUAAAUGAAUAGGAUUGAGACGUGCGUGAAGGCUGACUAUAAAAGGAGAUGAAUGAGUGAGUAAGAUGCAGAAGCAAUAACAGAAUGAAGAUGGCUAAUUCUCUCUUAACUUUGGUUGUGUUGCUCCUUUUGGCUCUGAUUCUGACCCCUCAAGGGCUUGCUGCUGAAUCUGAGUCUGACAGCUUCUACAAACCACCCCAUAAGUAUAAGCCACCCAUCCACAAGCCAAGACCACCAAUUUACAAGCCUAAACACAAACCAAAGCCAUACCACAAGCCCCCUUAUGGUAAGCACCCACCCGUUGAAGAAAAUGGUCACUUCUAAACCAUGCAACGUAUCAAGUUAUCUAUCUCCUAAAUAAAAACACUUUCAUCUUUGUAGUGCCUCCAUCAAUAAUCAUUUCAAUCAUCUUCUCUCUCUCUUUCCAUGAAUCUGUAACCAGAAUAUCUAUCAUGCUUUUGUACUCUCACUUCAUAUAUAAAAUGUCUUUUAUGCUUUCCUCGUUCUUUGCUUUUUCUUCUUUCUUUCAUUUUCUAUCAGACACCAUCUUCAACGUCAAGUUUGAAAAAUUAUGCUUUACGAGUAUAACCACCAUUCCACUGUAAGAACACUCUAAUUAAUUAACUUGUUAAUUAUAUCUAUUGUUCCGGUGAUAAUUUUUGGGGACCGAGACACUAACCUGGAUGACGUGGCUUUCCCGCUUUCUGACGCUUGGACUGGUCGGAUUGCUCGCUUUUCCUGGAUCUUGACCGCUCGCUUUCCUUCACCCUUGACCGUUCGGUAGUCUUCAAGCUUUGACCGAAGGGGGAGGUACCUGCAAAAGGCACUCCGACGCCCAAGUCAGGCGUGUGAUGGAAGAACCUCGGUUCUUAAUUGAAUAUUUAGUGAAGGGUUUUCACUAUUUGAGAAUAUGAGUUGAAUGUGAAUGAAGUGUGAUUGGAAGUUGAUUCGAAGGUGAUUCGAAGAUACCUGGCUUGUNNN